GACCGCCUGCAUUUCUGACUACAG
Molecule: non-coding RNA, 24 nt
Filed under: Arabidopsis thaliana (thale cress)
Lineage: Eukaryota; Viridiplantae; Streptophyta; Magnoliopsida; Brassicales; Brassicaceae
Source: RNAcentral